RNAcentral lists this ribosomal RNA (835 nucleotides) under Colletotrichum sp. RNAcentral describes it as "partial large subunit ribosomal RNA". It matches the Rfam family "Eukaryotic large subunit ribosomal RNA", at positions 75 to 939 of the family's 3401-position model. Lineage: Eukaryota; Fungi; Ascomycota; Sordariomycetes; Glomerellales; Glomerellaceae. The record is from RNAcentral.
UUGCCUCAGUAACGGCGAGUGAAGCGGCAACAGCUCAAAUUUGAAAUCUGGUCCUUGCGGCCCGAGUUGUAAUUUGCAGAGGAUGCUUUUGGCGCGGUGCCUUCCAAGUUCCCUGGAACGGGACGCCUUAGAGGGUGAGAGCCCCGUACGGUUGGACACCAAGCCUUUGUAAAGCUCCUUCGACGAGUCGAGUAGUUUGGGAAUGCUGCUCUAAAUGGGAGGUAUAUUUCUUCUAAAGCUAAAUACCGGCCAGAGACCGAUAGCGCACAAGUAGAGUGAUCGAAAGAUGAAAAGCACUUUGAAAAGAGGGUUAAACAGCACGUGAAAUUGUUAAAAGGGAAGCGCUUGUGACCAGACUUGCGCCCGGUGAAUCACCCAGCUCUCGCGGCUGGGGCACUUUGCCGGCUCAGGCCAGCAUCAGCUUGCCGUCGGGGACAAAAGCUUCGGGAACGUAGCUCUCUUCGGGGAGUGUUAUAGCCCGUUGCACAAUACCCUUCGGCGGGCUGAGGUACGCGCUCCGCAAGGAUGCUGGCAUAAUGGUCAUCAGCGACCCGUCUUGAAACACGGACCAAGGAGUCAACCUUAUGUGCGAGUGUUCGGGUGUCAAACCCCUACGCGUAAUGAAAGUGAACGCAGGUGAGAGCUUCGGCGCAUCAUCGACCGAUCCUGAUGUUCUCGGAUGGAUUUGAGUAAGAGCAUAUAGGGUUGGACCCGAAAGAAGGUGAACUAUGCGUGUAUAGGGUGAAGCCAGAGGAAACUCUGGUGGAGGCUCGCAGCGGUUCUGACGUGCAAAUCGAUCGUCAAAUAUGCGCAUGGGGGCGAAAGACUAAUCGAA